UAUAACACCACAAUUUUUAGAAAAACGGCCAAAUACCUAUACUUUUACAAAAGCGAUGGCGGAGGAUGUGAUUAGGAAGCAGUAAUUUCAACGUAUCGAGAACCUAUACGAGGUUGGAUCGACAAUUUAUACGGUCCAACAGGAAUUAUUCUUGGUGCUAGUAUUGGAUUGCUGCGAUCGGUUCAUUGCGAUGGUUCGAUGUCCACAAAUGUG
Linepithema humile (Argentine ant) is the source of this 213-nucleotide non-coding RNA. The record is from RefSeq and is a predicted model, not a curated record. Lineage: Eukaryota; Metazoa; Arthropoda; Insecta; Hymenoptera; Formicidae.